GAUGAACGCUGGCGGCGUGCCUAAUACAUGCAAGUCGAGCGAGCAUACGAUGAGUUUGCUCCUCUGACGUUAGGGGCGGCCGGGUGGUUAACCCGUGGAUACCCGCCCUAUAAUACUGGAAUAACUUCGGGAAAGCGGACCUAAUACCGGAUUAUCUGUUGUACCGCAUGGUUCAAUAGGGAAAGACGGUUUUUCGGGCUCUUUUGGAGGGAGCCGGGCCGCAGUAGCUAGUUGGUGAGGUAGGGGCUUUGCAAGGCCACGAUGCGUAGCCGCCACGGGGGGGUGGUCGGCCAUAAUAGAACGGAGAAACGGUCCAGACUCCUACGGGGGGCGGCAGUAGGGAAUGUUACGGAACGGGCGAAAGACGGACGGAGCAGCGCCGCGUGAGUGAUGAAGGUCUUCGGAUCGUAAAACUCUGUUAUUAGGGAAGAACAAAUGUGUAAGUUAUGAUGCGCGGCUUGACGGUACCUAAUCAGAAAGCCACGGCUAACUACGUG
This 497-nucleotide ribosomal RNA is filed under the name uncultured bacterium. Its description in RNAcentral is "partial 16S ribosomal RNA". It matches the Rfam family "Bacterial small subunit ribosomal RNA", at positions 28 to 507 of the family's 1533-position model. The record is from RNAcentral.